This 389-nucleotide long non-coding RNA is filed under the name Physcomitrium patens. RNAcentral's name for it is "long non-coding RNA (PPAT_LNC001307)". The record is from RNAcentral. Lineage: Eukaryota; Viridiplantae; Streptophyta; Bryopsida; Funariales; Funariaceae.
AAGUUAAAACUUUAAAGCUCAAAUCAAUUUAGCAAUAUUAUUUAAAUUAAGUACUUAUAGAGUAUACUUGUAGAUUUAUACUAUGAUAAUUCUAUAUCUUAAAAAUAAAGAAUUGUAUCAACUUUUAUUUGAAAUAUAAAGAUUUCAAAAAAUUGACCAUAUUGAUGUAAUUAUAAAUCUCCAACUACUAAACUUUAUUAUUUUCUUCAAACAUGUCAAAUUUCCAAACCCUUCUAGUAACUUCUUCAAUAUUUUUUGCUUAUAGAAGAAUUAUUCUUUGAACUUAACUAAAUUUGGUAAUCUACUUAAAAGCUCUUCCAAAUUCUCACAUUUUUAAAUAUUUAGCUUCUUUAAACAUGUCAAGAUUCUAAAUCUUUUUAGAAAAUUCU